UGUGAUUGCUCUAGCCUGUAAAACAUGAGCAGAAGAGGCAUGAAGCACUUGGUGAGUGCUUCUAAGAGCUGAUGCAGAAUUUCCCACAUUCCCUUCUUCCUGCCCUGAUGCCUGGCAAUGCUCCAGAUGGCAGAGGCUCUGUCAGCCAAUAUCUUUGAAAGAGGAUGAUGGGGAGAAGAGACUCCCACCAAACCAGGGUCAGCUUGUGGUACGAGGCUUUGCCCCUUGCCCUGAUCAUGCCCAUCACUUGGCCACUGAGAGCUGGGUUGGUUUGUUCCUGCAGUGCAACCUAACUCACCCUAAGAAGCCAGCAAGGCAAUGCCAGUGCAGAGGAGAAAAGCAGAAUCCUGAGACACAAGAUGAUAAGGAGCGGAGGGUCUGCAGAAGGGCUGGUCUAGAUGCAUGUGAGGAGCAAGUUCAAGUCAGACUCAAUGUCAUUUCACCAUGAUUGGGGCAGAGUGGCACCGGGCCUGGUGGGAUCAGAAGGCAGGACACGGCGGACAGCUGGAUUGCCCCUUUCUAAAUCCAGCUUUCUUCAUCCAGGAAGCCUUCUCUGACCCUCCCACCCAUAGGGCCCUCUCCUACCCUGAACUCCUCCAGAAUUCUGUCUGCUGAAAGAAGGCAUGUGGAGUGUGAGAAGACAGCAGGGCUCUGAAGUCAGACCGAUGUGGUUUAAAUAUUGGUUUCUUGUGUUCAAUCAUCUGACCAUUAAUUCAACAUCUGUAGCAUGCCAGGCACUGUUCUACAUCCUGGAAAUGUGUUCAUGUUCAAGAGCUGGGUGUUCUUGGAUCCUGUAUGCAAAUGAGGGAGAGAGAGACAGUCAAUAACAACAAUAACAAAGCCAAACAUGCAAAAAGAAAAAAAGUUGUGAUGUUGGAAAUUAAGAAAAUAACCAAGGGGCUGAGAUAAAGAAUACCAAAAGGACCUACUUUAGAUGAGGUUAAUGAAUGACUUCCUCUUUGAAUGGGCAGCAUUUAAAAUUGCAAUGUACAAGGAGGAAGAAUAGUUACUAUAUAAAUAAAACAGAGGAGCAUUCUUGGCAAGAGAAAAACGACAGGUACAAGACCGUUAAGUGGGAAAGGUAGGAAAGGGCUUGGGUGGGGCAAGGUUGGAACUGAAGGAAGAGGAGUGUCUCUGGAGAGUACCCUGAGGUAAGGGUGGAGGGUAGAGCUGUGCUUUCCAGGCUAUUUUAGGAGAUAGAUUCAAGGUGCAUUUUAUAGCACAAACCAGCAAGACUUACUGAUGGUUUAGGUAAAGGGAGAAGAGGACCCAUUCAAGAAGAGAGAGUCAAGUCACCUGGGGUGGGGAUACCGUGCCCUUUACAGGAAUGGCAAAGGUGGAGUUGGGAGGAUGGAAAGUCUGCUCUGAAUGUGCUAGUUUGGAGAUAUCUGAGAUCUCCAAGUGGAAAUGUCAGCAGGCAAUAGAAUCUGCAAGUCAGAAGGAAGCUCAAAGAAGUCCAGGUUGGGGAUAUAGAUUUAGAAUGAUCGGCAUAAGAAUAGUAUUUAAAUCCAUGGAAUUUCACGAACUCACCUGUGAAGUGAAGAAAGAGGACCCAAGAGGGCCUAAGGGAGACCAAGGAGGAGUCAGAAAAAGGAGGAGGACCUGCAAAGGAGGACCAGCCAGUGAAGAACGAGGAGAGCCUGGAGAGCAGAAUGUGGUAGAAACAGAGAGGCAAGAGUUUGCAGAAAAAGGGGUCAAUAUUGUCACAGGACUAAGAUGAAGUCCAAGAGUGGGGCUGGGCCUGGCCAGUUGGAGUCAUUGGUGACCUUGACCAAGCAGUCUCAGUACUGGGGAGCAGAGCUAGCCUUCAGUGGGUCCAGGAGUGCAUGGGAGUUAAGAGAUGGAGACUGCAAACAAAUUAUAUUCUUUGGAGAAAUCUGACUCUAAAAGAAAAUAGAGGGAUUGGGAAGUAGUUGUCAACGGGAGGGGCUGGAGAUAGAUGAACUGCAGGUGGGAGGAGCAUGUCUGGGUGCUGAUUGGACUUGCCUAGAAAAACCAAGAGACUAGUGAGAGAGCCAGAGAGGGACAAUGAGAGCAAUAAGUUCCCAAGGAGCUGGAGAGGAUGAAUUCAGAGCACAGGUGGAGGGACUUUCUCCAUCAGCACAGGAAGAAGCAGAAGAGAGAAGCAGCCAGGAUGGGUCCUAGUCUGGUAUUGGGAAGAUGAGAGUUGAGUGAAGUAAUGAAGGGGAAGGGUCCCUUGGAACCAGAGGGAGAGAGCAGGGUGGAAGGGAAGGUGAGAGGAAAAAGAGAAGUAAAAUUGUCAUCUGGGAGUGGGCAGUGGCCUACUAGAGAGAGUGGUGGGGUUGCCUGGCAGUCUUGAGGGCAAGUGCAUGGGCCAAGAUCAUGAAUUUAGAGCAAAAUCAGCCAGCCCUAUUGUGUGAUUAUCUCCAAGAACAGGCAACUGCUCUGGAGCAGGCGUGGAGACAGCGGAUGGGAGGUUUCAUUCAGGGUUGGGACUUUGCCAAGGGGCUGUGACAAAGGAUAGAAAGGCAGAGUUGCUGAGAAAAUUCACACUGGAAUAAUGAUGAGGAACCAUGUAGCAGAGGCUGGACAAAGAAGGAAGGAAGAGGAGCUGGGAAGGAGGCUCAAGAGGGAGGAGGGGGAGUCACUGCAUUGAAAUUCUCAAGGAAGCCAAGAAACUGAGGCAGUGGAGAAUCUUGACCUGCAGGGCUGGGAGGAUUGGGAGAGGUGUUUGGAAUCCAGAUUUGAGGAUGGGAUGGUACAGGUGUGACUGCAGGAAUGGGCACCUGAGGAGCCCAGGAGGGAGUGGCCUCUAUGGUGCUGCAUGGUCUGUCUGACUGGAUGUGAAUGCUACCAGGGAUGAUGAUGACAUCAGGAGGUGGAGGUGAAGACUCUGACCAGGAGGUGACAAUGCUGCCUUUGACCAGCUCUAUGAGCCAGGCAAGUCACCCUGUGGCCACAGCAGGCUCUGGAGCACCCCUGCCCAGGUUCUGCCACUUUCUAGAUGUGUGACUAUGGAGGCUUACUUCCCCUCUCUGCACUUUGAUAUCUUUACUUGUAAAAAUGGGGGAAUAAUUUACACAUGCCUCUUAAAGUUGUUUGAAGACUAAUGGAAAUAAUUCAGGCAAAGCACCCAAAACAGUGCCAUAAGUGUUAAAUGUCUCCUUUUGUAGUGAGUUAAACUGUGGCACCCUGAAAGACUGCCCCACAUCCAACACCCUGAACCUAUAAAUGUGACAUUUUGGGGGUUAAGGAUUUUUUUUUUUUUCAUAUAGAGUCUCACUUUGUCCCCCAGGCUAGAGUCUAGUGGUGCGAUCUUAGCUCAUUGCAACCUCCACCUCCUGGGUUGAAGUGAUUCCUGUGCUUCAGCCUCCUGAGUAGCUGGGAUUACAGUCAUGCACCAUCACACUCAGCGAAUUUUUGUCGUUUUAGUAGAGAUGGGGUUUCACCAUGUUGGCCAGGCUGGUCUCGAACUUCUGACCUCAAGUGAUCCACCCACCUCGGCCUCCCCAAGUGCUGGGUUAAGGAUCUUAAGGUGACAUCAUCUUGGAUUGUCUUAGUGGGCUUAAAUUCAAUGACAAGUGUCCUUGUAAGAAACAGGAGAGGACACAGAAACAAAAUGACCCCAUACACACUCGUGCAAACACACGCCACAGGAGAGAAUGCCAUGGGAGAAUGGAGGAAGAGAUUGGAGUGAUGCAGCCACAAGCCAAGGAAUUCCUGGACCCACCAGAAGCUGGAAGUGGCAAAGAAGGACUUGCCACAAAGCAGCCUUUGGAGUGAGUAUGGCCUGCCAACACCUUGACUGUGAAUUUCAAGUCUCUAAAACUGUGAGCAAAUAAAUUUUUGUCGUCUUAAGCCA
This is a long non-coding RNA of Homo sapiens (human), 3823 nucleotides long. RefSeq lists it as uncharacterized. The transcript is spliced from 2 exons. NCBI's taxonomy places the organism in Eukaryota, Metazoa, Chordata, Mammalia, Primates, Hominidae. The record is from RefSeq and is a predicted model, not a curated record.